GAUGAAGAACGUAGCGAAAUGCGAUAAGUAGUGUGAAUUGCAGAAUUCAGUGAAUCAUCGAAUCUUUGAACGCACAUUGCGCCCGCCAGUAUUCUGGCGGGCAUGCCUGUUCGAGCGUCAUUACAACCCUCAGGCCCCCGGGCCUGGCGUUGGGGAUCGGCGAGGCGCCCCCCGCGGGCACGCGCCGUCCCCCAAAUACAGUGGCGGUCCCGCCGCAGCUUCCAUUGCGUAGUAGCUAACACCUCGCAACUGGAGAGCGGCGCGGCCAUGCCGUAAAACACCCAACUUCUGAAUGUUGACCUCGAAUCAGGUAGGAAUACCCGCUGAACUUAAGCAUAUCAAUAAGCGGAGGA
Molecule: unclassified non-coding RNA, 353 nt
Filed under: soil metagenome
Description: partial contains 5.8S ribosomal RNA, internal transcribed spacer 2, and large subunit ribosomal RNA
Rfam family: 5.8S ribosomal RNA (bases 1-120)
Source: RNAcentral